This 267-nucleotide long non-coding RNA is filed under the name Mustela putorius furo (domestic ferret). RNAcentral's name for it is "lncRNA (ENSMPUG00000026620.1)". The record is from RNAcentral. Lineage: Eukaryota; Metazoa; Chordata; Mammalia; Carnivora; Mustelidae.
GGGAACACAGCGAAGCAGUGAGCUGAGGAAAACCCUUGAGAUUGUGGCCCAAGGGGUGGUUUCCAGCACUACUGAUUACCUUUUCUCCUGAAAAAUGUCAUCAAGGACCCUGAAAGAGACACAGAGGAGAGAGAGCACACAAGCAUGAUCGGGGUGGGGCAGAGGGAGAAGAAGACACCCCGCUGAGCAGGGAGCCCACAUGGGACUUGAUCCCAGGACCUUGAGACCAUGACACGAGCUGAAGGCAGACGCUUAACUGACUGAGCC